AUUGAACGCUGGCGGCAGGCCUAACACAUGCAAGUCGAACGAGUGCCGGACGGGUCAGUAAUGUCUGGGAAACUGCCUGAUGGAGGGGGAUAACUACUGGAAACGGUAGCUAAUACCGCAUACCAUCGGAUGUGCCCAUAUGGGAUUAGCUAGUAGGUGGGGUACAGGCUCACCUAGGCGACGAUCCCUAGCUGUUCUGAGAGGAUGACCAGCCACACUGGAACUGGGACAGGGUCCAGACUCCUACGUGAGGCAGCAGUGGGGAAUAUUGCACAGUGAGGGCAAGCCUGAUGCGGCAGGGCAGCGUGGAUGAAGUAGGCCUUCGGGUUGUAAAGUACUGGCAGCGGGGAGGCGUUACCCGCAGAAGAGGCACCGGCUAACUCCGUGCCAGCAGCCGCGGUAAUAC
This 406-nucleotide ribosomal RNA is filed under the name uncultured bacterium. Its description in RNAcentral is "partial 16S ribosomal RNA". It matches the Rfam family "Bacterial small subunit ribosomal RNA", at positions 30 to 526 of the family's 1533-position model. The record is from RNAcentral.